Molecule: ribosomal RNA, 236 nt
Filed under: uncultured bacterium
Lineage: Bacteria
Description: partial 16S ribosomal RNA
Rfam family: Bacterial small subunit ribosomal RNA
Source: RNAcentral
UGAGGAACAUGUCCUUCGGCGGGGAAGUAGCCGGCCUAACGGCCGGGUAAUUCCGCGUACGACGGUUGGGGCGGCAUGCCUCGGCCGUGAAAGCAGCAAUGCGCCGAUGGAGUGCCUCGCGGCCUAUCAGCUAGUUGGUGAGGUAAUGGCUCACCAAGGCGACGACGGGUAGCUGGUCUGAGAGGGUGACCGGCCACACUGGGACUGAGACACGGCCCAGACUCCUACGGGAGCAG